This 778-nucleotide ribosomal RNA is filed under the name Triticum aestivum (bread wheat). RNAcentral's name for it is "partial small subunit ribosomal RNA". The record is from RNAcentral. Lineage: Eukaryota; Viridiplantae; Streptophyta; Magnoliopsida; Poales; Poaceae.
CCAGAAUGGAUAAGGUUGCUCCAAUCUUCUUCUCGUGCGGUUCCUGAGGGGAAAAUUACCGCCGUCGGCGGCGGACACGAGGGCUCGCCGGGCCAGGGAGAGGAUCCAGGCGCCACCAAACCUCGUACGCGAGGACACCGCCGUUGCUCGGACUUGAGCGCGGGCCACCUCCACCGCGUGAUGCGGCUGCUCUGUGGAGAGCCGGGCCGAGGCCCGCUCGGAGGAGCGGCGUGUCGUGGCUGUGGUGUCCGCCGCGCCCGGAGGACUGAUGCUUCUGCGACCGUCCUCGACGAGGUUGUUGCCGCUACAGUGAUGGCGAGACGGCGAGACGGUGAGCAGCAGUGGCCGCUAGUUCCAGUUCAAGAAAUUAGAAAAAGACAUGGCGUUCGUGCCGAGAGGAGCCAGGCCGAGGGGAGCGUCGUUGCGCCGAUGCGCGCCACUGCCUCCUGUCCCGCAGCGGGCUGCAACGAUGAGACUCUGUGCGCGUGCCGGCCGGAGGGUGUCGCUGCAGAGGGUGGUCGGCCAUGGCCAUAUCCUCCGCGCCGUCGAUCUGCGCGGAUGUGAGCCUUUUCUUGUUCUGCUCUUUUUGUUUGUAGUUCAAGAAUGAUCAAUUCUUCGUGAGAUUCGUGUGAGCGCAUAUAUACUAUUAGUUUUCCUAUCAACAAGAUGUGUUCUUCAUCCUCUGCAAUGAUGUUCUGCUCUUCUCUUGUCCGGCCAAAUCGCUCGAUAGGAGAGCAAAGUGCAUGAUAACGUGUUUUGAGUGAAAAGUAAAGAACGA